CAUAGUUUUCACACAAAUGCAAAAGAAUCUGCCUCUUAUACUGGACAAGAAAACUGUUUUCAAAAGUUGCAGAAUCGUCUGAUUGGAUGGGGUUUUGAAGAUGCAGGACUGAAAGCUCUGAGAAUGGUGGACUCUGCAGAGAAGAGGAGUUUAAUUGUGUUUCUGGAACGGCUCAGCAUUCUAGAAGUUGAGGUCAGUGAAAGUCUUUGGUAUUGCCCCUGUUAGCUGGCCCUUCAGGGAAUUUCAAAAUCUAAGACCCGGCAUUUUUACAUGGCAGUGCUGUAAUAAUGAGGAAGUCAUAGAUUAAUUAGGGACAGGGUGUUUAGAGAUGGUUAGCUUAGGUAGAUCAUUUUGAAUAGUUAUUUUAAAAAGAUUUAAUACAGAGGUGAGAUCAGAAUAAAACGGACUUGUGAGCGGACUCUAAAAUCUAAACUCUGGGGAAAAAAAUGUAAUCUAGAGCAAAAUCAGAAAGCAAAAUAAUUGGAAUAGACAGUUGGACUAAAAGUGUGUAUGUGGAGUGUGUGUGUUACGAGGAAAAGGCUAAUGAUAGAAUUUAUGGGAUAAUCCAUUUAUUUGUAAAUUUUUAGUCUCCUGUAGCUUUUUUGGACUAAAAUCCCCGUUAAAAUAAAUAAGAAAGCAUGUUCUUU
Molecule: long non-coding RNA, 647 nt
Organism: Herpailurus yagouaroundi (jaguarundi)
Lineage: Eukaryota; Metazoa; Chordata; Mammalia; Carnivora; Felidae
Exons: 2
Source: RefSeq, a predicted model, not a curated record